GACUCCGUGGCGCAACGGUAGCGCAUCUGACUCCAGAUCUGAGGUGCGGCUUCAAAUCACGUCGGGGUCG
This is a non-coding RNA of Ascaris suum (pig roundworm), 70 nucleotides long. The record is from Rfam. NCBI's taxonomy places the organism in Eukaryota, Metazoa, Nematoda, Chromadorea, Rhabditida, Ascarididae.